RNAcentral lists this ribosomal RNA (479 nucleotides) under uncultured Bacteroidota bacterium. RNAcentral describes it as "bacterial SSU rRNA". It matches the Rfam family "Bacterial small subunit ribosomal RNA", at positions 355 to 831 of the family's 1533-position model. Lineage: Bacteria; Pseudomonadati; Bacteroidota. The record is from RNAcentral.
UAAGGAAUAUUGGUCAAUGGACGGAAGUCUGAACCAGCCAUGCCGCGUGGAGGAUGAAGGUCCUCUGGAUUGUAAACUUCUUUUAUCUGGGAAGAAAUCCAUCUUUUCUAGGGUGGUUGACGGUACCAGAUGAAUAAGCACCGGCUAACUCCGUGCCAGCAGCCGCGGUAAUACGGAGGGUGCAAGCGUUAUCCGGAUUCACUGGGUUUAAAGGGUGCGUAGGUGGGCAGGUAAGUCAGUGGUGAAAUCCUGUAGCUUAACUACAGAACUGCCAUUGAUACUAUCUGUCUUGAAUACCCUGGAGGUGAGCGGAAUAUGUCAUGUAGCGGUGAAAUGCUUAGAUAUGACAUAGAACACCCAUUGCGAAGGCAGCUCACUACGGGAAUAUUGACACUGAGGCACGAAAGCGUGGGGAUCAAACAGGAUUAGAUACCCUGGUAGUCCACGCCCUAAACGAUGGAUACUCGACAUCAGCGUAA